This 253-nucleotide ribosomal RNA is filed under the name uncultured bacterium. RNAcentral describes it as "partial 16S ribosomal RNA". It matches the Rfam family "Bacterial small subunit ribosomal RNA", at positions 524 to 776 of the family's 1533-position model. The record is from RNAcentral.
UACAGAGGUCUCAAGCGUUGUUCGGAUUCAUUGGGCGUAAAGGGUGUGUAGGUGGCGCCGCAAGUCGGGUGUGAAAUUUCGGAGCUUAACUCCGAAACUGCAUUCGAUACUGCGGUGCUUGAGGACUGGAGAGGAGACUGGAAUUCAUGGUGUAGCAGUGAAAUGCGUAGAUAUCGAGAGGAACACCAGUGGCGAAGGCGAGUCCCUGGACAACACCUGACACUGAGGCACGAAAGCUAGGGGAGCAAACAGG